This 468-nucleotide ribosomal RNA is filed under the name uncultured bacterium. RNAcentral's name for it is "partial 16S ribosomal RNA". It matches the Rfam family "Bacterial small subunit ribosomal RNA", at positions 28 to 507 of the family's 1533-position model. The record is from RNAcentral.
GACGAACGCUGGCGGCGUGCUUAACACAUGCAAGUCGAACGGAAAGGCCCUGCUUUUGUGGGGUGCUCGAGUGGCGAACGGGUGAGUAACACGUGAGUAACCUGCCCUUGACUUUGGGAUAACUUCAGGAAACUGGGGCUAAUACCGGAUAGGAGCUCCUGCUGCAUGGUGGGGGUUGGAAAGUUUCGGCGGUUGGGGAUGGACUCGCGGCUUAUCAGCUUGUUGGUGGGGUAGUGGCUUACCAAGGCUUUGACGGGUAGCCGGCCUGAGAGGGUGACCGGCCACAUUGGGACUGAGAUACGGCCCAGACUCCUACGGGCGGCAGCGGUGGGGAAUAUUGCACAAUGGGCGGAAGCCUGAUGCAGCAACGCCGCGUGCGGGAUGACGGCCUUCGGGUUGUAAACCGCUUUCGCCUGUGACGAAGCGUGAGUGACGGUAAUGGGUAAAGAAGCACCGGCUAACUACGUG